This 2826-nucleotide long non-coding RNA is filed under the name Medicago truncatula (barrel medic). Its description in RNAcentral is "long non-coding RNA (MTRU_LNC003094)". Lineage: Eukaryota; Viridiplantae; Streptophyta; Magnoliopsida; Fabales; Fabaceae. The record is from RNAcentral.
AGAGAGGUAGAGAGAGAAAGAGGUGAAGAGAAGAACAAGGAUUUGAAGGGAAUAGCUUGAGGAAUCAAUUGGGGUAAGCUAGGAGCUGAAUUGAAGCAAGAGUUUGAGUUAAUCAUCUUCAAAGGUAAGGGGGUUAGUUAUUAUCAUAAUCAUGUACAAAUUUUGUAUUUUCUCAUGUUGUAUGAAAAUGGGUUGAUGAACAAUUGUUGAUAAAUUCGUGCUCUUGCUGUGAUGCUAUUUUCUUGUGCAUGAAUUGAUGAUUAUGGUAUGUUUGUGGGUGAAAUUACAUGUUUCAAAGUAUGUAUAAAUGUUAAGUAAUGAAAUUAUACUUAAUUGAUGAAAUUUGAUAUGUUUUGAUUGAAAUAAGAUGUAAUUCAUAUUCCAUUGAUGUUGUUAUUGUUAACUGAUGUUAUUGUGAAUGAAUCAUUGCUUGGGUACGCAUAUUCAUGAAUUGAUGAUGAGAAUUUGAAUUGUUGUUGGUGUUUUGGUGAAAUUGGUGAAUUAUGACAUGUUGUUGUUGAAACAUGAUGGAAUGCAUGAUCAUAAGUUGUGGUUGUGGUUAAUUGUUGAUGAUAAUCUCAUUACAUGACUUGGGUAUGAAUUAUGUUGAGAUGUUGUUGUGAAUUGUGUUGAAUUGGAAGAAAUGAAUUGUUGUUGUUAUUGAAGACUUAUUGUUUUGAGAAAAAUCAUUUUAACAAUUUCAUAACUUGUACAAAUGCCACGAAACGAGCGAGUUUGAUGUGUUAGAGCCUCGGGUUAUGCCUCGGAUCACUUUUGAUGAUUGAGGACUUUAAACAUUCGAUUUUUGGUCGAAAUUGGCGAAAACCCGCGGCCGAAACACGCGAAAACGCGCGUUUACGGAGCGCUGCGCCUGAACAAGGGCGCUAGGCGCCCACAAGUCAGGGAGCCAGCGCUGGGCGCCCUACUGCUAGCGCUAGGCGCUUCAGACAGGGCAACAUGCUUGUUGCUCCGUGUCCGGGUGCUUGGGGGUGGUCGUGUGAGGGUCCUAGGCGAUCGUUUUGAAGUGUUAUUUUGCUGUUUUCACCUACUUUUCUACUGGAAUACAUUUGGCUUUGUUGAAACUUUAAUUUUCCAAAUGGUUUGAAACUUGAGUUUGUAUCGUUUUCGGUUUUUCGGAAAUUGUCGAAACUUGGAAUUUUUGUGAACAAAAGGGUUGCAAGCUUGGUCUACAGUUCAUAUGGGCUUAGGCAAUGCUUGUAAAGUUGGUACAAUGUCUUAAUCAUGUUAAACUUGGAUUUCGGGUGGGAAUGUGAAAAAUGUGAACUUGGGAUUUUCUCAUACGAACUUAGGCUAAUCUUUGAACUAAUGAUUGAUAGUUCGUAAGUGGCCUAUGCUCAUAUUUAUAUGAUUAAUUAAGAUUGAAUUGUAGGAUUUUAAACUUGAAUAAGUUGCCUAGCUUUGAAAAUUAUCAAUGUUGGCCGUUUGCCACAUGAUUUGGAUUUUUGUCGGAAGUGUUUCUUGAGCCAAUUGUCUUGUGAGUUAUUGUGACCAUUCUUAUAUGACUAAGUGAAGUUGUAUGAAUGAAUGAUUGUAUUGAAUAUGAUGUUUAUCAUGAGAUGAGUAUGCUAUCUUACUUAGGAUGUAAGAAAUGCUUGUAUUGGUGAAACUAUAUGUGAUAGUUGAUGUUGAAUGACAUUGUUGAUUAUUGAUAAUCAUGUUGAUGUAUGAUGAAUCGUAGAUGUUGAAUAUGAUAUUUGUCAUGAGAUGUUGUAUGUUCUCUUAUUUGGAAUAUGAGAAUUGUUUGGAAUGGUGAAACUAUAUGAUAUAGUUAAUGUUGAAUGAUGUUGUUGAUUAUUGAUAAUCAUGUUGGAGUGUGAUGGUGAAUACUAUGAUUUAAUUGUGUAUAAGCAUGUUUUCUUGAUAAUGCAAAUGUUGUGGAGAUAAUCAAUAUAAUUGGGUGUCGUCCUAUAUAUUGAGGUUGAAAUUGUGGAUUGUUGUCGCAUUAUCGAGUCCUUAUACAUGUCCAUGCAUCAUAGUCGAGAUGAAAUGAUGUUUUAUUCAUUAUUGGGCUCCGGCCUAGCAGAGAUCUUUUGAGGUCUAGUUUUAGGGCUUCAGCAUGGCAGAGAUCUUUUGAGAUCUGGAUACGAUGUUUUAUUCGUUAUAGGGCUUCGGCCUGGCAGAGAUCUUUUGAGAUCUGGAUUUGGGUGACGACCCUUUUUGGAGAUUUGGUACCACAUGCAUAUAUGUGUCGAUAGGUGCAUAUCAUGGCAUGAGUCUUAUUGAUAUAUGUGAUUGGUGAUUGUUCAUGAAAUAUGAUAAUGAUUGUUCAUGGCUUAUGAUUUGUGAUUGUUCAUGAAGUAUAUAUGAUUGGUGAUUGUGUAUGAAUAACUGUGAAUUGAUAUUUGUUCAUGACAUAUGUGAUUGGUGAUUAUUGAUGUGAGCUAUUGGGGUUUGAUGUAAGUAUUGAUGUGAGUAUUUUUAUUGAUCAAAUGCAUGAUGUUUAAAUUGAAAUAUUCAUGUUAACUGUUAUUUGGAUUAUGAUAAUGUAAUACUUACCCCCAUUGGAUCUGUUAUGGACCGCCUGCCUAUCUGUAUGGAUGGGUAGACGUUGUGCAGGUUUAGUUGCUUGGUGAGUUCUUGUGCUUGGUGGAUAUCGGGAGCUUUCUCCGAUAUCGGUGUUUAGAAUUAGUCGGCUCUGAUCUAGGCUUCGUUGUGUCGGUCUAGAUUAGUUUAUUUUGGAUUUUGUUAUGUUUGGAGAUUACCCGUUUGUUGGGAUUUUUGAGAUGCAUCUAUGUUGAUGUAAUUUAUUUAUUCAUAACAUGUAUAUUUGAAUUUACUCUAGUUUAUAUUCUGCUGCGACUGUUG